CCUACGGGUGGCAGCAGUGGGGAAUAUUGGACAAUGGGGGGAACCCUGAUCCAGCCAUGCCGCGUGUGUGAAGAAGGCCCUCGGGUUGUAAAGCACUUUCAGUGAGGAAGAACGCCUGGUGGUUAAUACCCAUCAGGAAAGACAUCACUCACAGAAGAAGCACCGGCUAACUCCGUGCCAGCAGCCGCGGUAAUACGGAGGGUGCGAGCGUUAAUCGGAAUUACUGGGCGUAAAGCGCGCGUAGGUGGCUUGAUAAGCCGGUUGUGAAAGCCCCGGGCUCAACCUGGGAACGGCAUCCGGAACUGUCAAGCUAGAGUGCAGGAGAGGAAGGUAGAAUUCCCGGUGUAGCGGUGAAAUGCAUAGAGAUCGGGAGGAAUACCAGUGGCGAAGGCGGCCUUCUGGACUGACACUGACACUGAGGUGCGAAAGCGUGGGUAGCAAACAGGAUUAGAUACCCCAGUAGUC
RNAcentral lists this ribosomal RNA (465 nucleotides) under Vreelandella stevensii. Its description in RNAcentral is "partial 16S ribosomal RNA". It matches the Rfam family "Bacterial small subunit ribosomal RNA", at positions 338 to 795 of the family's 1533-position model. The record is from RNAcentral. Lineage: Bacteria; Pseudomonadati; Pseudomonadota; Gammaproteobacteria; Oceanospirillales; Halomonadaceae.